Molecule: transfer RNA, 62 nt
Filed under: Heterocephalus glaber (naked mole-rat)
Lineage: Eukaryota; Metazoa; Chordata; Mammalia; Rodentia; Bathyergidae
Rfam family: tRNA
About the family: Transfer RNA (tRNA) molecules are approximately 80 nucleotides in length. Their secondary structure includes four short double-helical elements and three loops (D, anti-codon, and T loops).
Source: Rfam by way of RNAcentral
GUGUAGCUCAGUGCUAGAGCAUGAGGCUGGCACGCAUGAGGGCCUGGGUUCAAACCCAGCAC